AUACGGAGGGUGCAAGCGUUACUCGGAAUCACUGGGCGUAAAGCGCGCGCAGGCGGCCAUUUAAGUUGGAUGUGAAAGCCUACGGCUCAACCGUAGAACUGCAUCCAAAACUAUUUGGCGAGAGUGUGGGAGAGGAAGAUGGAAUUAGUUGUGUAGGGGUAAAAUCCGUAGAGAUAACUAGGAAUACCAAAAGCGAAGGCAAUCUUCUGGAACAUUACUGACGCUGAGGCGCGAAAGCGUGGGGAGCAAACAGGAUUAGAUACCCUAGUAGUCC
RNAcentral lists this ribosomal RNA (274 nucleotides) under uncultured bacterium. RNAcentral describes it as "partial 16S ribosomal RNA". It matches the Rfam family "Bacterial small subunit ribosomal RNA", at positions 523 to 796 of the family's 1533-position model. The record is from RNAcentral.